This 508-nucleotide ribosomal RNA is filed under the name uncultured bacterium. RNAcentral's name for it is "partial 16S ribosomal RNA". It matches the Rfam family "Bacterial small subunit ribosomal RNA", at positions 28 to 523 of the family's 1533-position model. The record is from RNAcentral.
GAUGAACGCUAGCUACAGGCUUAACACAUGCAAGUCGAGGGGAAACGAUAGAGAAAGCUUGCUUUUUCUAGGCGUCGACCGGCGCACGGGUGAGUAACGCGUAUCCAACCUGCCCACCACUGGGGGAUAACCUUGCGAAAGUAAGACUAAUACCCAAUGAUAUCUCAAGAAGACAUCUGAAUGAGAUUAAAGAUUUAUCGGUGAUGGAUGGGGAUGCGUCUGAUUAGCUUGUUGGCGGGGUAACGGCCCACCAAGGCGACGAUCAGUAGGGGUUCUGAGAGGAAGGUCCCCCACAUUGGAACUGAGACACGGUCCAAACGCCUACGGGAGGCAGCAGUGAGGAAUAUUGGUCAAUGGGCGAGAGCCUGAACCAGCCAAGUAGCGUGCAGGAUGACGGCCCUAUGGGUUGUAAACUGCUUUUAUAAGGGAAUAAAGUGAGUCUCGUGAGGCUUUUUGCAUGUACCUUAUGAAUAAGGACCGGCUAAUUCCGUGCCAGCCGCCGCAGUAA